UGCUGGAGGUAUCAGAAGUGCGAAUGCUGACAUAAGUAACGAUAAAGCGGGUGAAAAGCCCGCUCGCCGGAAGACCAAGGGUUCCUGUCCAACGUUAAUCGGGGCAGGGUGAGUCGACCCCUAAGGCGAGGCCGAAAGGCGUAGUCGAUGGGAAACGGGUUAAUAUUCCCGUACUUGGUGUUACUGCGAAGGGGGGACGGAGAAGGCUAUGUUGGCCGGGCGACGGUUGUCCCGGUUUAAGCGUGUAGGUGUGUGUUCCAGGUAAAUCCGGUUCACUUUAACACUGAGGCGUGACGACGAGGCACUACGGUGCUGAAGCAACAAAUGCCCUGCUUCCA
Molecule: ribosomal RNA, 338 nt
Filed under: Salmonella enterica subsp. enterica serovar Typhimurium var. 5-
Lineage: Bacteria; Pseudomonadati; Pseudomonadota; Gammaproteobacteria; Enterobacterales; Enterobacteriaceae
Description: bacterial LSU rRNA
Rfam family: Bacterial large subunit ribosomal RNA
Source: RNAcentral